CAGUCGCCGCGGUAAUACGAAGGGGGCUAGCGUUGUUCGGAAUUACUGGGCGUAAAGCGCACGUAGGCAGACAUUUAAGUCAGGGGUGAAAUCCCGGGGCUCAACCCCGGAACUGCCUUUGAUACUGGGUGUCUAGAGUAUGGAAGAGGUGAGUGGAAUUCCGAGUGUAGAGGUGAAAUUCGUAGAUAUUCGGAGGAACACCAGUGGCGAAGGCGGCUCACUGGUCCAUUACUGACGCUGAGGUGCGAAAGCGUGGGGAGCAAACAGGAUUAGAUACCCCUGUAGUCCCUGUCUCUUAUAC
RNAcentral lists this ribosomal RNA (301 nucleotides) under uncultured bacterium. RNAcentral describes it as "partial 16S ribosomal RNA". It matches the Rfam family "Bacterial small subunit ribosomal RNA", at positions 509 to 807 of the family's 1533-position model. The record is from RNAcentral.